RNAcentral lists this long non-coding RNA (618 nucleotides) under Mus musculus (house mouse). RNAcentral's name for it is "long non-coding RNA chr15:77323835-77324453". Lineage: Eukaryota; Metazoa; Chordata; Mammalia; Rodentia; Muridae. The record is from RNAcentral.
GGAACCACUCUUCCUUGUCCCUCUUUUAGGAAAAUGCUGAACACAUAAAGGUAUGCAGAGAAAUGCAGACUGAAGGGUUUCUUGAGAGAAUGCACAGUAUACAAUCUUUGUUAUUAACACACCUCCCAUGCCUCCUUGGGCUGGAGAGGUGGCUCAGGGGUUAAGAGCACUGACUGCCCUUCUGGAGGUCCUGAGUUCAAUUCCCAGCAACCACAGGGUUGGUGGCUCACAACCAUAUGUAAUGGGAUCCGAUGCCUUCUUCUGGUGUGUCUGAAGACAGCUACAGUGUAGUCAUAUUAAAAAACAAAAACAAAUCCAUGCCUCCUCUCUGUACAGCAAAGGCCAGACGGAGGAAAGGCCAUCCGGCGGCGUACAUAUAACACAUGAAGGAAACUGGGUGACAACAGCCAAUUCUCAUCUACAAAGCUGGAUUUGUGUGUGCAUGAAAUCUCCAGAUACUGAAGUGUUAGCAUUACACAAGGAAUGUGAGAAAGAUGUUACAAUUAGUUAAGUACUUUGAAGGGUUAAGUGUGCCCUCCAGUUAGUUUGUUUUCUGUUGCUUCCAUCAAAAUAAGUGCUGGAUCAAAAUAAAGAAAAGACGAUUGUUUCCCUCGUGAU